RNAcentral lists this ribosomal RNA (464 nucleotides) under Vreelandella stevensii. RNAcentral's name for it is "partial 16S ribosomal RNA". It matches the Rfam family "Bacterial small subunit ribosomal RNA", at positions 338 to 795 of the family's 1533-position model. Lineage: Bacteria; Pseudomonadati; Pseudomonadota; Gammaproteobacteria; Oceanospirillales; Halomonadaceae. The record is from RNAcentral.
CCUACGGGGAGCAGCAGUGGGGAAUAUUGGACAAUGGGCGAAAGCCUGAUCCAGCCAUGCCGCGUGUGUGAAGAAGGCCUUCGGGUUGUAAAGCACUUUCAGUGGGGAAGAAAGCCUUGGGGCUAAUACCCUCGAGGAAGGACAUCACCCACAGAAGAAGCACCGGCUAACUCCGUGCCAGCACCGCGGUAAUACGGAGGGUGCGAGCGUUAAUCGGAAUUACUGGGCGUAAAGCGCGCGUAGGCGGUCUGAUAAGCCGGUUGUGAAAGCCCCGGGCUCAACCUGGGAACGGCAUCCGGAACUGUCAGGCUAGAGUGCAGGAGAGGAAGGUAGAAUUCCCGGUGUAGCGGUGAAAUGCGUAGAGAUCGGGAGGAAUACCAGUGGCGAAGGCGGCCUUCUGGACUGACACUGACGCUGAGGUGCGAAAGCGUGGGUAGCAAACAGGAUUAGAUACCCGAGUAGUC